UUAAACGGUAGGGUAUUGGCCUACCGUGGCAAUGACGGGUAACGGGGAAUUAGGGUUCGAUUCCGGAGAGGGAGCCUGAGAAACGGCUACCACAUCUAAGGAAGGCAGCAGGCGCGCAAAUUACCCAAUCCUAAUAGCAGGGAGGUAGUGACAAGAAAUAACAAUACAGG
Molecule: ribosomal RNA, 170 nt
Filed under: Cryptosporidium parvum
Lineage: Eukaryota; Apicomplexa; Conoidasida; Eucoccidiorida; Cryptosporidiidae
Description: partial small subunit ribosomal RNA
Rfam family: Eukaryotic small subunit ribosomal RNA
Source: RNAcentral